This 254-nucleotide ribosomal RNA is filed under the name uncultured bacterium. RNAcentral describes it as "partial 16S ribosomal RNA". It matches the Rfam family "Bacterial small subunit ribosomal RNA", at positions 524 to 776 of the family's 1533-position model. The record is from RNAcentral.
GACGGAGGGGGCAAGCGUUGUUCGGAUUCAUUGGGCGUAAAGGGCUCGUAGGCGGACAGGUAAGUCUGGCGUGAAAUCUCCACCACUCAACGGGGAGAGGUCGUCGGAAACUGCUUGUCUGGAGUACGGUAGAGGACCAUGGAAUUCCGCGUGUAGCAGUGAAAUGCGUAGAUAUGCGGAGGAACACCGAUGGCGAAGGCAGCUAGCUGGACGAGAUCCGACGCUCAGGCUCGAAAGUAUGGGGAGCAAAAAGG